GGCAGCUUCUGCUAGUGUUUAGGUACUAGUGCAGUGUAGAACCCUUUUCUCAGGCAAAACCUAACAUCUGACCGCACCCUUUUUGCUAUUAAAAAAAAAAAAAAGCUUCUAUUUUUUUCCUCCUGUCGUUAAGAUAAAUUCUCCAGUAGACAACCUCUCCCACUAAUUGUGUAUUAGCAACGUAUUUUAUCUUGAGAGCUUGUACACUGGGCUCUCAACGUGGUGUGGAAGGUAGCCUGUUACAGUGCUGGAUUCAUAAAAGGGCCUUUAUGGUUUGUGAAAGAAUAUCUGUGUGCUUAGGGAGGAAACUUUUUGAUCUGCAGAAAAGCCAGAAGACAUCUAGGACAUCCAUAAAAAUUCAUCAGAGAGCAUUUUACUACUGAGCUGCAAAGGGAAAAACUUAAAAUGGAUAUGAAAAGUGAAGAAAGUGAUCAUAGGAGAAAACCAUUUCAGGAACCAGGAAGGCAACAGAUUUUUCUUCAGGAUGCUCUUUUUGUGGAAAAUUAUGACAAGAGCACCUCAAAGGCAGCAGCCUCAAGGAGCAGCCAUGGCCCCAGACUUGUCGCACGGAUGCAGAAAACUUAAUGGAGGAGGCUGAGGUCAGAAUGGGAAGAGUUUUUAAAAAAUAAAAAGGGGAGCUAAUAUGUGAGGAACUGAUUGCUGUGCAUUAUUUUCCACUGAACAGACCUUCUUUUAACUUCUAAUCUCAAGCACAUAGCAGCUGUUGUUUUCAUAUUAAAGAUCAGUAAGUGUUUGUUGAAUGAAUGUAUAAA
Long non-coding RNA from Homo sapiens (human), 773 nucleotides. Ensembl annotates it as mir-99a-let-7c cluster host gene. Its record names the gene MIR99AHG. NCBI's taxonomy places the organism in Eukaryota, Metazoa, Chordata, Mammalia, Primates, Hominidae. The record is from Ensembl.